This 253-nucleotide ribosomal RNA is filed under the name uncultured Rikenellaceae bacterium. Its description in RNAcentral is "partial 16S ribosomal RNA". It matches the Rfam family "Bacterial small subunit ribosomal RNA", at positions 524 to 776 of the family's 1533-position model. Lineage: Bacteria; Pseudomonadati; Bacteroidota; Bacteroidia; Bacteroidales; Rikenellaceae. The record is from RNAcentral.
UACGGAGGAUGCGAGCGUUAUCCGGAUUUAUUGGGUUUAAAGGGUGCGUAGGCGGUCCGUUAAGUCAGCGGUAAAAUUGCGGGGCUCAACCCCGAAACUGCCUCUAAUACUGUUGGACUAGAGAAUAGUUGCGGUAGGCGGAAUGUAUGGUGUAGCGGUGAAAUGCUUAGAGAUCAUACAGAACACCGAUUGCGAAGGCAGCUUACCAAACUAUAUCUGACGUUGAGGCACGAAAGCGUGGGGAUCGAACAGG